RNAcentral lists this small nucleolar RNA (107 nucleotides) under Olea europaea subsp. europaea. RNAcentral's name for it is "Plant small nucleolar RNA R71". It matches the Rfam family "Plant small nucleolar RNA R71". Rfam says of the family: R71 is a member of the C/D box family of snoRNAs containing the C (UGAUGA) and D (CUGA) box motifs. Multiple nearly identical copies of this snoRNA have been identified in Arabidopsis, and it is thought to function as a 2'-O-ribose methylation guide for 18S ribosomal RNA. Lineage: Eukaryota; Viridiplantae; Streptophyta; Magnoliopsida; Lamiales; Oleaceae. The record is from Rfam by way of RNAcentral.
AUCCCAUGGUGUGAACACUUUCGCAGCGUAUUCUUGAACUGAUUCCAGGCUUCAUCGAAAAUUUUCGAGUCACCUUGGGGAAAAAUAGAGAUGUCGUGCUUGAGCUU